CCUACGGGAGGCAGCAGUGAGGAAUAUUGGUCAAUGGGCGAGAGCCUGAACCAGCCAAGUCGCGUGAGGGAGUACUGCCCUAUGGGUUGUAAACCUCUUUUGUCGGGGAGCAAAAGCCGGACGUGUCCGGCUGUGAGAGUACCCGAAGAAAAAGCAUCGGCUAACUCCGUGCCAGCAGCCGCGGUAAUACGGAGGAUGCGAGCGUUUUCCGGAUUUAUGGGGUUUAAAGGGUGCGGGGGCGGAUUUUUAAGUCAGCGGUCAAAUCGUGGGGCUCAACCCCAUCCAGCCGUGGAAACUGGGGAUCUAGAGUGUGCGAGAGGUAUGCGGAAUGCGUGGUGUAGCGGUGAAAUGCAUAGAUAUCACGCAGAACCCCGAUUGCGAAGGCAGCAUACCGGUGCACAACUGACGCUCAGGCACGAAAGCGUGGGUAUCGAACAGGAUUAGAUACCCUGGUAGUC
Molecule: ribosomal RNA, 458 nt
Filed under: uncultured bacterium
Lineage: Bacteria
Description: partial 16S ribosomal RNA
Rfam family: Bacterial small subunit ribosomal RNA
Source: RNAcentral